This 553-nucleotide ribosomal RNA is filed under the name uncultured Burkholderia sp. RNAcentral describes it as "bacterial SSU rRNA". It matches the Rfam family "Bacterial small subunit ribosomal RNA", at positions 67 to 615 of the family's 1533-position model. The record is from RNAcentral. Lineage: Bacteria; Pseudomonadati; Pseudomonadota; Betaproteobacteria; Burkholderiales; Burkholderiaceae.
CGGCAGCACGGGGGUAACCCUGGUGGCGAGUGGCGAACGGGUGAGUAAUACAUCGGAACGUGUCCUGUAGUGGGGGAUAGCCCGGCGAAAGCCGGAUUAAUACCGCAUACGCUCUACGGAGGAAAGGGGGGGAUCUUAGGACCUCCCGCUACAGGGGCGGCCGAUGGCAGAUUAGCUAGUUGGUGGGGUAAAGGCCUACCAAGGCGACGAUCUGUAGCUGGUCUGAGAGGACGACCAGCCACACUGGGACUGAGACACGGCCCAGACUCCUACGGGAGGCAGCAGUGGGGAAUUUUGGACAAUGGGGGAAACCCUGAUCCAGCAAUGCCGCGUGUGUGAAGAAGGCCUUCGGGUUGUAAAGCACUUUUGUCCGGAAAGAAAACCUCUGUCCUAAUACGGUGGGGGGAUGACGGUACCGGAAGAAUAAGCACCGGCUAACUACGUGCCAGCAGCCGCGGUAAUACGUAGGGUGCAAGCGUUAAUCGGAAUUACUGGGCGUAAAGCGUGCGCAGGCGGUUCGCUAAGACAGAUGUGAAAUCCCCGGGCUUAACCU